UACGUAGGGCGCAAGCGUUGUCCGGAAUUAUUGGGCGUAAAGAGCUCGUAGGUGGUUUGUCGCGUCUGUCGUGAAAGCCCGGGGCUUAACUCCGGGUCUGCGGUGGAUACGGGCAGACUAGAGGCAGGUAGGGGAGAACGGAAUUCCCGGUGUAGCGGUGAAAUGCGCAGAUAUCAGGAGGAACACCGGUGGCGAAGGCGGGACUCUGGGCCGAUAUUGACGCUGAGGAGCGAAAGCGUGGGGAGCGAACAGG
RNAcentral lists this ribosomal RNA (253 nucleotides) under uncultured bacterium. RNAcentral's name for it is "partial 16S ribosomal RNA". It matches the Rfam family "Bacterial small subunit ribosomal RNA", at positions 524 to 776 of the family's 1533-position model. The record is from RNAcentral.